RNAcentral lists this unclassified non-coding RNA (23 nucleotides) under synthetic construct. RNAcentral describes it as "RNA hairpin D-U7 from synthetic construct (PDB 8E2A, chain B)". The record is from RNAcentral.
CGGCGUUUCGACGCCGUUUUUUU